This 253-nucleotide ribosomal RNA is filed under the name uncultured bacterium. RNAcentral's name for it is "partial 16S ribosomal RNA". It matches the Rfam family "Bacterial small subunit ribosomal RNA", at positions 524 to 776 of the family's 1533-position model. The record is from RNAcentral.
UACGUAGGGGGCAAGCGUUGUCCGGAUUUAUUGGGCGUAAAGAGCGUGUAGGCGGUUUGGUAGGUCCGCUGUGAAAACUCGAGGCUCAACCUCGAGACGCCGGUGGAAACCAUCAGGCUAGAGUCCGGAAGAGGAGAGUGGAAUUCCUGGUGUAGCGGUGAAAUGCGCAGAUAUCAGGAAGGACACCCGUGGCUAAGGCGGCUCUCUAGUACGGUACUGACGCUGAGACGCGAAAGCGUGGGGAGCGAACAGG